This 68-nucleotide transfer RNA is filed under the name Hyriopsis bialata. RNAcentral describes it as "tRNA-Glu". It matches the Rfam family "tRNA". Rfam says of the family: Transfer RNA (tRNA) molecules are approximately 80 nucleotides in length. Their secondary structure includes four short double-helical elements and three loops (D, anti-codon, and T loops). Further hydrogen bonds mediate the characteristic L-shaped molecular structure. tRNAs have two regions of fundamental functional importance: the anti-codon, which is responsible for specific mRNA codon recognition, and the 3' end, to which the tRNAs corresponding amino acid is attached (by aminoacyl-tRNA synthetases). tRNAs cope with the degeneracy of the genetic code in two manners: having more than one tRNA (with a specific anti-codon) for a particular amino acid; and 'wobble' base-pairing, i.e. permitting non-standard base-pairing at the 3rd anti-codon position. The record is from RNAcentral. Lineage: Eukaryota; Metazoa; Mollusca; Bivalvia; Unionida; Unionidae.
GUUAACUUAGUGUAACCCAAAUCACGUCGGACUUUCAAACCGAAAAUACUGAACAUCAGUAGCUAACC